This 311-nucleotide RNase P RNA is filed under the name uncultured Eubacterium sp. RNAcentral's name for it is "Bacterial RNase P class A". It matches the Rfam family "Bacterial RNase P class A". From Rfam's summary of the family: Ribonuclease P (RNase P) is a ubiquitous endoribonuclease, found in archaea, bacteria and eukarya as well as chloroplasts and mitochondria. Its best characterised activity is the generation of mature 5'-ends of tRNAs by cleaving the 5'-leader elements of precursor-tRNAs. Lineage: Bacteria; Bacillati; Bacillota; Clostridia; Eubacteriales; Eubacteriaceae. The record is from RNAcentral.
CGAGGCAAUUGCGCGCUUCGGCGUGAGGAAAGUCCGAGCAGCACAGAGCAGGAUAACGGCUAACAGCCGCCGAGGGUGACCUUAGGGAAAGUGCAACAGAAAUAAACCGCCUCUUUUGAGGUAAGGGUGGAAAGGCGAGGUAAGAGCUCACCGAGGAGAUGGAGACACCUCCUGCCAUGUAAACCCUAUCCGCUGCAACAUCGACUAAAGGGUUGUUUGCUCGACACAUAACUUUGAAGGAUGGCUUCAGCACAGGAGCAAUUCUGUGCGCAGAUAGAUAAUUGCCCAAUACAGAACUCGGCUUAUUGGCA